AUGAAGAUGAAUGAUUAUAUGGGGAAGUUAAAUACAGCAAAAGUAGAUUUUUUCCAGCUAAGGUCAUUGUUCUGUUCGUAGUUAAAUAGCAAUUAGAUGUGUCUGUGAGUAGUUGUUCAUGUGGAACUUGUGGGUUAGUGGAAAUUUUUCGGGCUACGGUUGCAAGUCUGACGGGGGAUCAUAAUAAUACGUGAGCAUGCCGGAAGCUAAAUUGGCCAAGGAGAAGAUGUACGGGAGAAUGGCCUGUGGCCGCCCUUUUGUUGUUUGUCUUGCCAGCGAGAAGUACAUGAUUGAAGGAGCAGAUAAAGCCUUUCUGGUAGCAGUUCCGGACAAAUCAGUCGAAGUGCUAAAAUAACUGCAAUAAAGAAUAAAUUGAAGGCCAUGGAGCAAGAGUGCCAUAACUCAAACAAACAGAAGCCCGAUGAUGUUUCUUGAUCUCAUAAUAUCGAUAGUAGACUAAAGAAACUAAAAUGGCAUCUUCAUGGACUUCUGCUUCGUGUCUGAAGAUUUAAUGAAUAUCCAGAAUGUGUAUAUACUCACAGGAAAAUAUUGAAUUGUAGUCGUAUCAAGAAAGCAGAAAUUUUUGACACUAGUUUCGGUGCGUCACAUUACAUUAUUACCAAUGGAUGUAAUGAUUUUACUAAUCUUUCUUUGUUUCGAUUCACUCUCCUGAUCUUAUUACAAUAAAUUGUUUAGGAUACUGAUUACCAUUCUUGAAUUUCUU
RNAcentral lists this long non-coding RNA (724 nucleotides) under Olea europaea subsp. europaea. The record is from RNAcentral. Lineage: Eukaryota; Viridiplantae; Streptophyta; Magnoliopsida; Lamiales; Oleaceae.